Molecule: non-coding RNA, 92 nt
Organism: Mycena maculata
Lineage: Eukaryota; Fungi; Basidiomycota; Agaricomycetes; Agaricales; Mycenaceae
Source: the annotation of a GenBank genome assembly
GGUUCUGUAGUGUAAGGGUUAACACGCCGCAAAUGCCUUUUGAGACCAAGGAUUUUCGGCAGAGACUCCGGGUUCGAUUCCUGGCAGGGCCG